Molecule: ribosomal RNA, 490 nt
Filed under: uncultured bacterium
Lineage: Bacteria
Description: bacterial SSU rRNA
Rfam family: Bacterial small subunit ribosomal RNA
Source: RNAcentral
AAAUGAAUAGACGGGGACCCGCACAAGCAGUGGAGUAUGUGGUUUAAUUCGAAGCAACGCGAAGAACCUUACCAAGGCUUGACAUCCCUCUGACAGGCGUAGAGAUACGCCCUCCUUCGGGCAGAGGUGACAGGUGGUGCAUGGUUGUCGUCAGCUCGUGUCGUGAGAUGUUGGGUUAAGUCCCGCAACGAGCGCAACCCUUAUUGUUAGUUGCUACCAUUAAGUUGAGCACUCUAACGAGACUGCCGGUGACAAAUCGGAGGAAGGUGGGGACGACGUCAAAUCAUCAUGCCCCUUAUGUCUUGGGCUACACACGUACUACAAUGGCCGUGACAACGGGCAGCGAAACCGCGAGGUGGAGCAAAUCCCCAAACACGGCCUCAGUUCAGAUUGCAGGCUGAAACUCGCCUGCAUGAAGUAGGAAUUGCUAGUAAUCGCGAAUCAGCAUGUCGCGGUGAAUACGUUCCCGGGUCUUGUACACACCGCCCGU